This 74-nucleotide transfer RNA is filed under the name Dallia pectoralis (Alaska blackfish). Its description in RNAcentral is "tRNA-OTHER". The record is from RNAcentral. Lineage: Eukaryota; Metazoa; Chordata; Actinopteri; Esociformes; Umbridae.
AUCUGUUUGGAGUUGUGGUUAGUGCGCUCGGCUGUGGAUCCGUGCGACGUGGGUUCGAUUCCCCCUACCAGAUG